GAAGGCGCUCUGCUGGGCCAUCACUGACGCUCAUGGACGAAAGCCAGGGGAGCGAAAGGGAUUAGAUACCCCUGUAGUCCUGGCCGUAAACGAUGAACACUAGGUGUCGGGGGAAUCGACCCCCUCGGUGUCGUAGCCAACGCGUUAAGUGUUCCGCCUGGGGAGUACGCACGCAAGUGUGAAACUCAAAGGAAUUGACGGGGGCCCGCACAAGCGGUGGAGUAUGUGGUUUAAUUCGAUGCAACGCGAAGAACCUUACCAGGGUUUGACAUCCUGCGAAUCUCUUGGAAACAGGAGAGUGCCUUCGGGAACGCAGUGACAGGUGGUGCAUGGCUGUCGUCAGCUCGUGUCGUGAGAUGUUGGGUUAAGUCCCGCAACGAGCGCAACCCACGUCUUUAGUUGCCAGCAUUUAGUUGGGCACUCUAGAGAGACUGCCGGUGAUAAACCGGAGGAAGGUGUGGAUGACGCCAAGUCAUCAUGCCCCUUACAUCCUGGGCUACACACGUACUACAAUGCUACGGACAAAGGGCUGCAAGUUCGCGAGGACAAGCAGAUCCCAUAAACCGUGGCUCAGUUCAGAUCGUAGGCUGCAACUCGCCUACGUGAAGGCGGAAUCGCUAGUAAUCGCAGGUCAGCAUACUGCGGUGAAUACGUUCCCGGGCCUUGUACACACCGCCCGUCACACCAUGGAAGUUGGCCACGCCCGAAGCCGUUACUCCAACCCUUGUGGAGGAGGACGUCGAAGGUGGGGCUGAUGACUGGGGUGAAGUCGUAACAAGGUAGCCGUA
Molecule: ribosomal RNA, 788 nt
Filed under: uncultured bacterium
Lineage: Bacteria
Description: bacterial SSU rRNA
Rfam family: Bacterial small subunit ribosomal RNA
Source: RNAcentral